This 876-nucleotide long non-coding RNA is filed under the name Cicer arietinum (chickpea). RNAcentral's name for it is "long non-coding RNA (CARI_LNC001701)". The record is from RNAcentral. Lineage: Eukaryota; Viridiplantae; Streptophyta; Magnoliopsida; Fabales; Fabaceae.
AAUAUUUAAUUUUUAUUGUGAUUACAUCAAAAAUCAUACUCAUAAAAGUUUAUAAUGUAUUCAAAAGUUACAUUAUAUUUGCAGCAAAUAUAUAAGCUUUUAAAUAGAAAUGAUAUAAAGAAUAAAUUGCACUUGCACCAGGGAAUAAAUUCCUUUGUUUUUUGCUCUGAUCUCUUCAUGCUAUCAACAGAUUUGUAAUCUCCAGCAGCCACAGUGGAUGCACCUCCAAACUGCAAAAUCCAAAUUUAAAUUAAAUGACCAUAUAUUAAGAAGAUACAAUUGUUGCAACAACUUCAACCAAAUUGGUGAAAAAACAAGCACAUUAACUAAAUUUGUUAAGAGAAAAAGUGAUAUGUAACAGAUGAUUGCAACCACAAUUUAGCCUCAACGUCUAAAAAUUCGAUGUCUUAUCGACAAUAGCACGACCACAAUUGAUAUCACAAAUUCUAAACAAUAUUAAGAAUUGAGACAUAAUUUUAAUUUAAAACUUUGUAUAUAACACAUUUGGAGUAGAGAAAAAUAGAAAAUUGGAAGAUGAAGGUGAUGACAGAAGCAUAGAGAGCACAAAUGAAUAAAAUGCACGAUGCAUGUCAUCAUCUGUGCUCUCUAUCUUCUGUCAACAACGUAAUACCAACUAGUGGUACUUAAUUCCAUCUUUCUUCUCCCCUAUUUCUCUACCUGAAGACACUGUAAUUUACCAAUAAAAAGGAAGAAAAAAAAUCAAUAGUGAUGUAAUAAGAAGUAAAGAGAAAAUAGCUAGACUCUUAGAUUUGGAACUUUGUUGUGUUUGAUUUCUCUAGAGCUGCGAGGAUCAACUAUUUAUAAGGGGGGAAUGCAAAAAGUAUGGGUCAAUGUUAAGAGGGCCUUGAAAUAAAA